CAAGUACUGCUUUAUCGAUUCUAUGUGGUUUUUUUUCUUUUACAGUUCUAAUUGUGUCUGUUCCUGGGGGAGGGUGGGCUGAGGAAUUUUAAAACCUCAUCAGCUGUAUCCCCCUCCAUUGUGCCUGCUCAUCAGAUGCUAAAAAAGGUUUCGUGAUCAUAAAGUUCGGGACUAUUUAAAACAAAUUCAGUGUGGAUUUUUAGGUAAUUUCUUACUGAAUUUACCAAUUAUAUCCU
This 236-nucleotide long non-coding RNA is filed under the name Bos taurus (domestic cattle). RNAcentral describes it as "long non-coding RNA NONBTAT017194". Lineage: Eukaryota; Metazoa; Chordata; Mammalia; Artiodactyla; Bovidae. The record is from RNAcentral.